GUGAAUCAUCGAAUCUUUGAACGCAAAUUGCACUCCCUGGUAUUCCGGGGAGUAUGCCUGUUUGAGGGUCGUUAGAAUACAAACUCGAGGCGUCGCUCUUUUUCUGUGGGUGAUCGCGUCGGAAUUGAGCCGUCUUUCAAAUGUUACUUAAUGUCAAAGUGUCUUCAACUUCUUUCAUCCGGUACGAUUAAUACGUAUUCAAGAUC
RNAcentral lists this unclassified non-coding RNA (206 nucleotides) under Glomeraceae sp. Its description in RNAcentral is "partial contains 5.8S ribosomal RNA and internal transcribed spacer 2". The stretch from base 1 to 71 matches the Rfam family "5.8S ribosomal RNA", at positions 84 to 154 of the family's 154-position model. Lineage: Eukaryota; Fungi; Glomeromycota; Glomeromycetes; Glomerales; Glomeraceae. The record is from RNAcentral.